Molecule: non-coding RNA, 115 nt
Organism: Caenorhabditis elegans
Lineage: Eukaryota; Metazoa; Nematoda; Chromadorea; Rhabditida; Rhabditidae
Source: Ensembl
UAUAAAAAAAGAGAACAAUGUGUCAUUGUAGAAGGUGUGUGAGCAUACAAAGAUGACCCUAAUGAACUAUUAGUAUUGUAACAAGUAUAGGUCAUAUUAGUGUCAGGUUACCCAA